GCCGCGCCGGAAGCAGCCCUUCUCUUUCCCGCCCGUCCCCGGAAGUGGUCGUGUUCUGGUCAGCUGCUCGGCGAAAGUUCCGGAUCACGGAGCUGCACGGGUGGAGGUGGAGUUUUGGUUCAGGACUGAGACCCCAGGAGCCGGUUUUCCUAACGGCUUUCCCCGGGUCCCACGUUCCCCGUGAUCUGCACUCCGGACUAAGGCGCCCCAGAGCUCCCCGCCACGCUGUGAAUAAAUCCCAAACUCCUGGCCUCUGCCCUCUCCCGGCGCACCUCCAUCCACGGCCGCCUCCAUCCCUUCCAGCCCCUCAGGGCAGAAACACCUUCCCCCGCCACGAUCGGAUGACCCAAAAACAACUCGGACCCGUGUUUUUACAACUUUUUUAAUAUAUAUUUUUAUAAACAGGUCACGUGAUAAAAUAGCACAAGAAACACUUACCAAAUAUAAGGUUAUAUCUUCCGCAUAUACAGGAGAAUGAGGUCGUUAUGUACAGUAAGAAAAUGAUUUUAGGGGUUGGUUGGUUUUGUUUUCCUCUCUCCCCUUAAAUUUUCCUCCUACAGUCGUUGGAAAUAUCACAGCUUCAGUUGCAUUAAUACUUUGGACAAAUGGA
Rhinolophus ferrumequinum (greater horseshoe bat) is the source of this 610-nucleotide long non-coding RNA. RefSeq lists it as uncharacterized. Lineage: Eukaryota; Metazoa; Chordata; Mammalia; Chiroptera; Rhinolophidae. The transcript is spliced from 2 exons. The record is from RefSeq and is a predicted model, not a curated record.